UAUUGCAAAAUAAGGUCACCGAGACCUACUUUUUCAAUAAUUAUAUUAGGGCAACAUAAAUGGACAUCUAGGAUGAGAAGACAUGCCGAUAGCUAAUAUGGCAAAAUUAGGUCACUGACCUUUUUCAAUAAUUAUAUUAGGGCAACAGAAAUGGACAUCUAGGAUAAAUGCAUGCCGAUAACUGAUAUUGCAAAAUUAGGUCACUGUUACCUACUUUUUCAAUAAUUAUAUUAGGCAAUUAUUUUGUCUAGAUUGCCUCAAUAAGUUGACAAUAUACUGUAUUGUCAUUACUUCUUCAACUUAAUAUGUAUAUGUAUAUCGAAAUACAUGUAUUGCAAACAUGCCAUUCGACAUUUUGUUGAAGCUUCCUGUGGAUGAUCAGCAUCGCACACAGAUGGAUUUCCAUUGUGUUUGAAAUAACUACAUCAUUCAAGAUAUCCACCAUUUUUUUGCCAUCUCCAGAAUCACAUUCUCCAGAAAUUUUAACGUUACAUUCUUUGAGAUAGACCCUUGGUAAUAUACUGCCCACCAGCCAUGCAGCUAUCAGCCUCUAGUUGGUUCGUAGAGGGAUGUAAAAAAAUGAUAUGGGGCUAUAAUCACAGCAGGUGAGCGUUUAGGCCUACAGGCCUCUUGUUGCAAUUAUUUUGGGAUCUAAGUUAAGCCCGAGAGGUAAGGAAAUGCUGCUGUAAUUAGACACACUAUGUGCCUCACCUGUCAUGUCAUUAAUUGCAGACUGUACUGGUGACUGGAGUGAUGGUGAUGGUGAUGUUGAAAUCACAUGCCCAGAAGAUGAGAGAUUCACAGAUUGCAGUGUAGAUGCUGUCGCAGCAGAGUGGCUGGGCAUCUGCGGCCUGUUUAUACCAGCGAGUAUAUUGUGGAGCAGUUCAUAUGUGGCUUGGAUUUCAACGCAAGGUACUAACAUUGUUAGCAGAGAUUAGAGACAUGCACAGCCAUCGGGUCCUGGAGGAUGAUGGUAAAAUAUCUCACCUGCAACAAAUGGAUUCAUUAGAGAAACUGGAAGGAUUUGAGAAGGAAAUUGAUGAGCCCACAAAGAAGAAGGCUGUGAAAGGACUAUAUAUCUAGGAUCGGAGGGGUUGACGCCAACAGCCAUGUAAAAAAACCCAUGAAAAGCUGUCCCUCAAAUGCUGUGAUGGCAAAAAUGAAUCUUUGCGGGAAGAAGAACAAGCUUGCCUUUGGAAAAACAACUCUAUGCCAAAUAAUCACUGAAGCUGUCACAGAAAUCCACCCGGAAGCAACUGUUCAUUCAUGCCAAAGGUGGAAGUCGCAAUAUUUGAAGUAUGCACCAGAACGUGUUGGUGGAGGAGGGCGGCAGACGGCUGAAGUCAUUAUUUAAAAAUAAACUGUGUAUUGAAUGAAAAAAAAUGUUUGU
Molecule: long non-coding RNA, 1390 nt
Organism: Pecten maximus
Lineage: Eukaryota; Metazoa; Mollusca; Bivalvia; Pectinida; Pectinidae
Exons: 5
Source: RefSeq, a predicted model, not a curated record